This 468-nucleotide ribosomal RNA is filed under the name uncultured bacterium. RNAcentral's name for it is "partial 16S ribosomal RNA". It matches the Rfam family "Bacterial small subunit ribosomal RNA", at positions 28 to 507 of the family's 1533-position model. The record is from RNAcentral.
GACGAACGCUGGCGGCGUGCUUAACACAUGCAAGUCGAACGGAAAGACCCUGCUUUUGUGGGGUGCUCGAGUGGCGAACGGGUGAGUAACACGUGAGUAACCUGCCCUUGACUUUGGGAUAACUUCAGGAAACUGGGCCUAAUACCGGAUAGGAGCUCCUGCUGCAUGGUGGGGGUUGGAAAGUUUCGGCGGUUGGGGAUGGACUCGCGGCUUAUCAGCUUGUUGGUGGGGUAGUGGCUUACCAAGGCUUUGACGGGUAGCCGGCCUGAGAGGGUGACCGGCCACAUUGGGACUGAGAUACGGCCCAGACUCCUACGGGAGGCAGCAGUGGGGAAUAUUGCACAAUGGGCGGAAGCCUGAUGCAGCAACGCCGCGUGCGGGAUGACGGCCUUCGGGUUGUAAACCGCUUUCGCCUGUGACGAAGCGUGAGUGACGGUAAUGGGUAAAGAAGCACCGGCUAACUACGUG